This 592-nucleotide ribosomal RNA is filed under the name Colletotrichum tropicale. RNAcentral's name for it is "eukaryotic LSU rRNA". The stretch from base 229 to 382 matches the Rfam family "5.8S ribosomal RNA". Lineage: Eukaryota; Fungi; Ascomycota; Sordariomycetes; Glomerellales; Glomerellaceae. The record is from RNAcentral.
UUGGAAGUAAAAGUCGUAACAAGGUCUCCGUUGGUGAACCAGCGGAGGGAUCAUUACUGAGUUUACGCUCUACAACCCUUUGUGAACAUACCUAUAACUGUUGCUUCGGCGGGUAGGGUCUCCGUGACCCUCCCGGCCUCCCGCCCCCGGGCGGGUCGGCGCCCGCCGGAGGAUAACCAAACUCUGAUUUAACGACGUUUCUUCUGAGUGGUACAAGCAAAUAAUCAAAACUUUUAACAACGGAUCUCUUGGUUCUGGCAUCGAUGAAGAACGCAGCGAAAUGCGAUAAGUAAUGUGAAUUGCAGAAUUCAGUGAAUCAUCGAAUCUUUGAACGCACAUUGCGCCCGCCAGCAUUCUGGCGGGCAUGCCUGUUCGAGCGUCAUUUCAACCCUCAAGCUCUGCUUGGUGUUGGGGCCCUACAGCUGAUGUAGGCCCUCAAAGGUAGUGGCGGACCCUCCCGGAGCCUCCUUUGCGUAGUAACUUUACGUCUCGCACUGGGAUCCGGAGGGACUCUUGCCGUAAAACCCCCCAAUUUUCCAAAGGUUGACCUCGGAUCAGGUAGGAAUACCCGCUGAACUUAAGCAUAUCAAUA